GACGAACGCUGGCGGCGUGCCUAAUACAUGCAAGUAGAACGCAGUUUCGAACGGGUGAGUAACGCGUAGGUAACUGCCUCAUAGGGGGGGAUAACUAAUGGAAACGAUAGCCAAUACCGCAUACUGUGAGAUGGACCUGCGUUGUAUUAGCCAGUUGGUUGGGUAAAGGCUCACCAAGGCGACGAUACAUAGCCGACCUUAGAGGGUGGACGGCCAAACUGGGACUGGGAAAACGGCCAGAAUCCUACGGGAGGCAGCAGUAGGGAAUCUUUGGCAAUGGACGGAAGUCUGACCGAGCAACUCCGCGUGAGUUAAGAAGGUUUUCGGAGCGUAAAGCUCUGUUGUUAGAGAAGCGGUAACUAAACAGAAAGGGACGGCUAACUACGUGCCAGCAGCCGCGGUAAUAC
Molecule: ribosomal RNA, 407 nt
Filed under: uncultured bacterium
Lineage: Bacteria
Description: partial 16S ribosomal RNA
Rfam family: Bacterial small subunit ribosomal RNA
Source: RNAcentral